Molecule: long non-coding RNA, 1171 nt
Filed under: Equus caballus (horse)
Lineage: Eukaryota; Metazoa; Chordata; Mammalia; Perissodactyla; Equidae
Description: lncRNA (ENSECAG00000054386.1)
Source: RNAcentral
AUACUCUACACUUUUUACCGUUGCCUGAAUCUUAAUUUGGGGAGGAAGUAAAGAAAACCUCACCUACCAUGAUUCCAUCCCGAGGGAAGGAAGCACAUCCCCUGAGGACCUGACUUCAGAGGCAGGGAAGAAAGAGUUUCAGGACCCUCGAGCCGGGGGAGACUCUGUGUAUGGCUUCGUCGUGCUGGGCCUGCCCUCCCAUCUGGGUUCAGUUCCAAGGACAGGGCCAUUUUCUGUAAUUGAAUAGGUUUUUCUGUGACAUUUCCUUGAUCACGUGUAAAUAUUUCCUCAAUUGGGCACAUUUCAAGCUCUAUUUGAAGUGCAAUAGAGGUGAAUGUAGCCUCCACCUUCACAAGGCAGAGACCACCAUGAGGGCCCACCCACUGCACGAGCUCAGUGGUCCCCUUUCCAGGGAAGGGAGGAGACCCCAUCUGACGGCCCCUGGUUCAAUGAUGCAGCUUGUGGUGUUUGGUUAAACCAGCGGUCUAACAGUUGCUGUUGCUGCCCUUUCAAGUCACAGUGGUGACCCUCUUCUCUCUGGGGACCGUCUCCAUCCAGAAGCCCCUGCAGGUGCCGCAUGGCUCCUCUCCAGCUGACUAAGCCCAGGCAUCUGGUGGAGGCUCCCUGGUGGGACGCACGAGGAGUGGGCGCGGGCUCCCUGAAGCAGAAAUGAACUCACAGGAAGGACAUUGCACGGCCCGGUCGUCAGGGACCUGGAGUCCGUCCCCCACUCCUGGGUUGUGGUGGUGUCCUCAUUACCAUCGAGGGAGCUCCUGGGCCACCAGCCAUUCAUUGAUCUGGGUCAGAACCAGCAGGAUAGAGGAGGUGGCACAAGGCCCUCCCAUUGAUAACACUUCCUGAAGAACCCACUCUUCACUGAAGAAGCUUCCUGCUCACAGCUCCACCCAGACGUGGUAUAUGGCCCUGCCUGGCUGCAAGGAGGCGGGGGCUCGAAAUCCUUUACCUAGGGGCACAGCUGCCGUCAGCGAAGUCGGGGUUCUCUCACUGGGAAGAGGGGGACGAGGACGUCUGAUGGGCCACUAGCUCAUAGCAGUGUCAGAGCCACCAGGAGAUCUGGGUUCUGUUCAGCUGUUCUUAUCCAUGGGGCUAAAACACUCCCUUGUGUUACUAUUGUUUUGUGGGGCCUCACAAGCAAUUUUUAUAAAUGGCA